UUUGAGCUUUUGUUUCCUUCAUUGGUAAAGCCUGAUUCACAAGAGUGUGAAGUAUGAUUUACAAGAGUAAAAGCAAGGUUGUUAUCUUUCGACCUUCAGUGUCAGAACAAAGUUGUUAUUUUUCAAGCGAAGCGUUAGCCCUACACUAAUUUAACCCUUACAAGCUGUGUCCCCGCAGGCCCCCAGUGUCACAACCGCCACUGCCAGAGGCCCGCAGCCGGGCACCUCUCCACCCGUGCUGCCAUGAGAGGGGCCCCGCGCCAUGCCUGUGAGAACACGGGGCGUCCUGGAGUCCCUCGCACCGUGGGCCCGGUCUUCCCUUUAUUCUGAAUGAAGAAGUGGGGGGCGGGGGGAAGAUCCAGCAAGUUUGGACGCUCAGAUGGCCCAGGCCCCUGGAUGGGGCGAGGGACGUGGUCCCCUUCUGGCUCAGGGCGAGGCCCCUGCCCCUGGGUGGGGUAGGAGCAGGGCCGUGGGCUGAGGUGGGGCUUUGGAGACACCCCCCAGAAUGAGAGUGUGGAAGGCUGGAGUCUGGUUCUGUAUUUCAACAUGGAAAGCAUUUUGGGGGCUGUUCUUGCAAGAUACUGGCUGCCUCGCUUCUUGGGGUCUUUACACGACAGCUUUGGAGUGGCUGCCCAGGCGUCUGUCUGCAGUCUGUGGUUGCCCACCUCCCUCCCCUGAGACCCUGGAGGAGGUGGGUGCCCCCCACCCCGGCACCUUCCCCACCUGGCCCAGGUUGGGUCUCGAGACGCCUGCAGCUCCAAGAGCGAAGAGUGGGGUCCAUGUCGUGAGACGAGGUGCUGCUUGUCGCCACGGGGAAAGGCCUUCGCCGGACGAACCCCUGGGCUGGGGUCCUUCCUGCUCGCCAGCGGCCGUGUUCUGACAGCUGGGCGCUGAGGACCCUCACCGUGCCCCCCGUUCAGACACCGGGCUUUGGGUGAAGCUGCCCCCACCCCUGACUCUCGAGGACGCCCAACUCCGGCCUGGCCACUGACAAGAAGCAAGAGCGUCACCUGUCUCCACUUGGAGGUGAACACAGGAGGGGCUGGGACCCGGGCAGGCCCUCAGGCCGCAGUGCAGAGGCCUCUGCAGGGCUUUGCAGAGGCGUGAGGUCGCUUCGCUGCAUCUCGAGGAAGGAGGAGGUGGUCUGCCGGCAGCCAUGGUGGAGCCCAAGAAUGGAGAAAACAAGGAGAGAAAGGAGAGGCAAGAGGCGGAGGAAGAUGGCCUUUCUGCCCCUGGAUACAGCCAUGCCUGCAAGCAGCCUACCCAAGCGCCUUUCAUGUGUAAGAGCCAACACAUCCCAUUCACUGCUAGAGCUGUACGUGUGUGCGUAAGAUUUUCUGUCAUUUCAAGCCAAGAGACUCCUAAUGGACGUGCGUCUGCGCAUUUGAAAGAGUGAAAACGUGAUGACCGUGUGCCUCGUCCCUUGGCGAUAUGACUGAGUUCUGUGGUCACUCAGCUUUGGGGAGGGCUCUGACCCCUUCUGCUCAAGUGCUCCGAUUGGGGGGUGGCGUUUUCAUCUUUUCCUUUGCUCGUUUCUGCAGCCCCAGAAGAAAUUUUGACCCACCAGACAGUCAUCUCUAGAAGGAAUAUCCUUUAUUGUGCAAGGAGGGGCCACAGUGCGGGGGUGGGGCGAAGCGUGUAGCAGGGGGGCCUGCGCGGUGGGGACAGGCUGCGCAGGGCCGCACACGGACGCGCAGGUGGGUGUUCUCGGCAGAAUCCCUGGAGGGUUUGCAGACGGGGAGGGGGGCUGAGCACCCCGAACCUCCAAGUCUAAGUCCCUGUGUACCCGAGACCCCACUUCUUGGCUCUCUGCCCAUGGGGGCAGAGAUCAGGGAAGGGACAGCACAGGAGGUGGGGGCAGGUCUGGGCUCUGAAAGGCAGCCCAGGGGUCAGGGGAGGGGCUCCGUCCACCUCCCGGGCCCCUCUGUGUAACUCAGGCCCUGGAGAAGCCCAGCGGGGCCCAGCUGCAGGGAGGCGCUGCCCACCUGUUUGGGGCCGAUGGCCCCAGUCUCUGAAAUUCUCACGGCGAUCUGAGGGGACACAGUGACCUGGAAUGAGCCCCCGCCCGCCCCCGGCCCACCUGUGGCCACUGGGCGGCCGCUGAACCAAGGGGCCCUGAGGGUGUGGGAGAGGAACAGGCCUUACUGUGAGGGCCCAGAACCACCCUCUGCUUUCUUGGGCGGGCCGAGGCCUUCACAGACGGACUCGAAUCCCCGCAGGAACUUGGGGUGUGUGAUGGGGUCCCAGACUGCGGGGGAACAGGCAUAGGUCCUGCCUGGUGCCGUGCGGAGGGUGGGGGCAGGGCACAGGGGCAGGCCUCAGGCAGGGCUCGGGGGGCACCGGGGGCCGUGGGGCUGUCAGGGUGCCUUGCUCUUGGGAUGGAGAGGAGUGUCUGUGUCUUGGUGAGAAAUGUGGCUGAUGUGGGAGAAGAGACUCCCUCUUCCCUUGGGAUGAGAUGGGAGGAGGUGACCGUCUCCUCUUCCCAGCGCCCUAAAUAGCGUGGAGGUUGAAUCGUGGUCACGGGACUGUCCUGGCGAGAGGGCCACGGGGAAUGAGUGUGUGCGGGUGUGCGGGGCCCAGGGGCUGCGGGCGGGGAGGCUCGGUGGGAGGGUGGCCGGGGCCGGAGCCUUCAGCCAGCAUCUGGCCCCUGACCUCCCUCUCCUGCUGGGUGGGCAACAGGCCCCGCCCCCCAGGGGCUGUGUAGACGCCUGGCUCGAGAGACUCCUUUCCCGCAGGGGACCACACGUACCCAGCAGGUUGGCCAUCAGGCUGGUCGCACUCUUGGAACGGUUGGUCACAUAGAGAAUCACGUAGUCCUUGGGUUUCACCUUGACCAGGUAGAGAUCGUCGUUUCUUCCAGAAACUGUGGAGGAUGCUGGGGCUGAUACAGGCUGGGAGAUGGGUGGCCGCCCAGUGGGGAGACUACAGGCCCACUUUCUGUGCGUGCGGGCGGUGCCUCCCGUCCUGCCCCGCCUCGUGGGGACAGGGGCUCUGCCCCCCUGAGAGUAGCUGCCAGCCGCCAGGCUGGCCGGGGGCCUGAGUCCUGGUGCCCACCCAUCCCUCAGGCACAGAGCUGCAGGGUCCUUGCCACAUGGCUCUAAACCCAAGAGCCAAACCUUGGGGCUGUGCCCUUGGGGGGCCCAUUGUCUGCACACGGUACACUUGAAUUGGUUUUUCUGAUCGGUCUUGACUGUAGUGACAGGAGACUUGCCUGCACUGGCCUUCUUCCCUGCAGUCAAAGGGGGUGGGGUUACUCUGUCCACCUGCCCUUUUUAAUUUCUUUAUAAAUUUUAUUUAUUUAUUUACCUA
Molecule: long non-coding RNA, 3309 nt
Organism: Felis catus (domestic cat)
Lineage: Eukaryota; Metazoa; Chordata; Mammalia; Carnivora; Felidae
Exons: 2
Source: RefSeq, a predicted model, not a curated record